GCCUGGGUGGCUCAGUCGGUUGAGCGUCCGACUUCAGCUCAGGUCAUGAUCUCACAGUUUGUGGGUUUGAGCCCCACAUCGGGCU
Molecule: transfer RNA, 85 nt
Filed under: Crocuta crocuta (spotted hyena)
Lineage: Eukaryota; Metazoa; Chordata; Mammalia; Carnivora; Hyaenidae
Also listed under: 1 other name
Rfam family: tRNA
About the family: Transfer RNA (tRNA) molecules are approximately 80 nucleotides in length. Their secondary structure includes four short double-helical elements and three loops (D, anti-codon, and T loops).
Source: Rfam by way of RNAcentral